This 74-nucleotide transfer RNA is filed under the name bacterium. RNAcentral describes it as "tRNA-Trp". It matches the Rfam family "tRNA". From Rfam's summary of the family: Transfer RNA (tRNA) molecules are approximately 80 nucleotides in length. Their secondary structure includes four short double-helical elements and three loops (D, anti-codon, and T loops). The record is from RNAcentral. RNAcentral also lists the same sequence under 1 other name.
GGGGGAGUAGUUCAGUGGUAGAACAUCGGUCUCCAAAACCGAUGACGAAGGUCCGAUUCCUUCCUCCCCUGCCA